Long non-coding RNA from Arabidopsis thaliana (thale cress), 314 nucleotides. RefSeq annotates it as other RNA. The transcript has a single exon. NCBI's taxonomy places the organism in Eukaryota, Viridiplantae, Streptophyta, Magnoliopsida, Brassicales, Brassicaceae. The record is from RefSeq.
UGAAGCUUUGACUUUUCUCACGUGAGUGAGAACUGGGAAGUGGAGAAAGCUUUGUCUUUAAACGUAUAUCUUUGACAGUUUCGUGACAUAAAACAUUGACCGAAUAGGUCCAUGAGAUAUCGGGUCGGGUCGGGCGUAUCACUUUACGUACGGCUAAUGCACGGCGCAAUACGUGGUCCGAUGAAUGCGGCAAUAUGGGUCCUUAAUUUUUUUUGCUUUUUUUUUUUCUGAAACUUGUUGAAUUUGUUUCUAAUUAAAAAUUCACUUUCUUCUAUGUAAGUGGGAGUCUUUCUCUACCUCCUAAAGCGAAAUCU